This 495-nucleotide ribosomal RNA is filed under the name uncultured bacterium. RNAcentral's name for it is "bacterial SSU rRNA". It matches the Rfam family "Bacterial small subunit ribosomal RNA", at positions 29 to 521 of the family's 1533-position model. The record is from RNAcentral.
AUUGAACGCUGGCGGCAUGCUUUACACAUGCAAGUCGAACGGUAACAGGCCUUCGGGUGCUGACGAGUGGCGAACGGGUGAGUAAUGCAUCGGAACGUGCCCAAUCGUGGGGGAUAACGUAGCGAAAGUUACGCUAAUACCGCAUAAGCCCUGAGGGGGAAAGCAGGGGAUCGCAAGACCUUGCGCGAAUGGAGCGGCCGAUGUCAGAUUAGCUAGUUGGUGGGGUAAAGGCCUACCAAGGCGACGAUCUGUAGCGGGUCUGAGAGGAUGAUCCGCCACACUGGGACUGAGACACGGCCCAGACUCCUACGGGAGGCAGCAGUGGGGAAUUUUGGACAAUGGGCGCAAGCCUGAUCCAGCCAUGCCGCGUGCGGGACGAAGGUCUUCGGGUUGUAAACCGCUUUCAGCCGGAAAGAAUCGCCAAGGCUAAUAUCCUUGGUGGAUGACGGUACCGGAAGAAGAAGCACCGGCUAACUACGUGCCAGCAGCCGCGGU